AUUGAACGCUGGCGGCAGGCCUAACACAUGCAAGUCGAGCGAGCGGCGGACGGGUGAGUAAUGUCUGGGAAUCUGCCCGAUGGAGGGGGAUAACUACUGGAAACGGUGGCUAAUACCGCAUACUAUCGGAUGAACCCAGAUGGGAUUAGCUAGUAGGUGGGGUAAUGGCUCACCUAGGCGACGAUCCCUAGCUGGUCUGAGAGGAUGACCAGCGACACGGGUACUGAGAGAGGGACCAGUGGCGUACGGGGGGCAGUAGGCGGGAGCAUUGCGCAACGGGCGCACGUGUGAGACAGCGGCGCCGGGUGGGUAAUGCCGGCUUUGGGGUUGUGAACGCCUUUCGGUAGAUGGAGAAGAAGCACCGGCUAACUCCGUGCCAGCAGCCGCGGUAAUUC
RNAcentral lists this ribosomal RNA (395 nucleotides) under uncultured bacterium. RNAcentral's name for it is "partial 16S ribosomal RNA". It matches the Rfam family "Bacterial small subunit ribosomal RNA", at positions 28 to 526 of the family's 1533-position model. The record is from RNAcentral.